This 496-nucleotide ribosomal RNA is filed under the name uncultured bacterium. Its description in RNAcentral is "partial 16S ribosomal RNA". It matches the Rfam family "Bacterial small subunit ribosomal RNA", at positions 29 to 507 of the family's 1533-position model. The record is from RNAcentral.
AUGCACGCUGGCGGCGUGCCUAAUACAUGCAAGUCGAGCGAACAGACGAGGAGCUUGCUCCCCUGACGUUAGCGGCGGACGGGUGAGUAACACGUGGAUAACCUACCUAUAAGACUGGGAUAACUUCGGGAAACCGGAGCUAAUACCGGAUAAUAUAUUGAACCGCAUGGUUCAAUAGUGAAAGACGGUUUUGCUGUCACUUAUAGAUGGAUCCGCGCCGCAUUAGCUAGUUGGUAAGGUAACGGCUUACCAAGGCGACGAUGCGUAGCCGACCUGAGAGGGUGAUCGGCCACACUGGAACUGAGACACGGUCCAGACUCCUACGGGAGGCAGCAGUAGGGAAUCUUCCGCAAUGGGCGAAAGCCUGACGGAGCAACGCCGCGUGAGUGAUGAAGGUCUUCGGAUCGUAAAACUCUGUUAUUAGGGAAGAACAAAUGUGUAAGUAACUAUGCACGUCUUGACGGUACCUAAUCAGAAAGCCACGGCUAACUACGUG